UACGUAGGGCGCAAGCGUUGUCCGGAAUUAUUGGGCGUAAAGAGCUCGUAGGCGGCCUGUUGCGUCCGCUGUGAAAUCCCGGGGCUCAACCCCGGGCCUGCAGUGGAUACGGGCAGGCUCGAGUUCGGUAGGGGAGACUGGAAUUCCUGGUGUAGCGGUGAAAUGCGCAGAUAUCAGGAGGAACACCGGUGGCGAAGGCGGGUCUCUGGGCCGAUACUGACGCUGAGGAGCGAAAGCGUGGGGAGCGAACAGG
This 253-nucleotide ribosomal RNA is filed under the name uncultured bacterium. Its description in RNAcentral is "partial 16S ribosomal RNA". It matches the Rfam family "Bacterial small subunit ribosomal RNA", at positions 524 to 776 of the family's 1533-position model. The record is from RNAcentral.